AAGAUUUCUGGUGAAUUUUGGGCAAAGUGAAAAGGGAUUUCUAUGUACUGUGGGUUAAGAAAAUAGGUAGUGAAAGAAAAAUAUGUCUCUUGAAAGUAAUAUUUUCUGCUAAUGAUUGCAUAAAAUGUUUUUUUUUCUGCCCUGUUUUCAGCAUUCUAUUUGGCUCCAAGUGCAGAUAGACAGAGUGGAAACCCUUCCAGUCUUGAAGGAUACCAGUUCUUGUAUCUAGAUUUUUCUAAGAAGAAAACACAUAGAAAUUCCUCUCCAGGCUUGCUUUUAGCAGUCUGGGCCCUUCCUGAGCUUUAAAAUUUACCUUUCCUGUCUUUACUAAAUUAUGAAGAGUUGUUUCACUUUUCAUCAAAUUAGCUCUUGGAAAUAUUUUUUUUUUCAUUAAAUUUUUUAUGUACUGGGAGCUUUCAAAGAAGAUUUCCACUGGAAAAUUGUUCUAUUGGCUGUAUUUUGACUAACCUGAAAAAGGACACUGACACUUGCUGUGAUAAGGAAUGGUAAGGGAGUCAAUUCAUACCAUCUAAUAUCAGCCUGGAAAUGAGGAACCUAAAUGAAGAUUUUAGCAGUAAUAAGCUUCCAUGCAGCUAAUGGAGCAAGAUGGGAUCUUGCAGAGAACUACUUAUGAGAACUGCAUGUGUGUGAAUUUGGUAGAUAAAGAGGCAACUUCAGGGUUUAUGAAUCCUUUGGUGCUACAGAAGUGGAGAUAUGUCAUCAAUAUUGUGUCUUUAAUGCUCUUCCCCAGGGAUGAAAAAAGGCUGUGGUUUCCUCUCAGAAGAUGCCAUCCCUUGGGGGCUUACACACGUAUUAUGUGCAUCCAUGAACUUUCUCCUGACUGUGGACAUGUUCUUGUGAGUGAAAAAGAUGAAGAGAAUGUUUUUCUUUUAGCUGAAGAAAGUUGCAUGGCACAAAGAUAUCAUAACAGCAAAGCAGAGGGACUGUCUGGAAGAGGUAAAUGCAAUGCCUUCUACAGAAGGGGAAGAGUUAAAUGAGAAAUCUGUGAUGUCUAUAGAAGUACUUAUGACCCCAGCACAGGUUUAUUGACAGUAGCUGAAAUGCAAAUUAUAAAUGUUGUCACAAACACUCCUAAAAACCAGAAAAACAAGUAUUUCAAAAGCCGAACAAAAUGAAAUCAAACUAAAAAAAGCCACACAAUCCUUUUUGGUCCCCAUCUAACUCUCUGAAGAAACUUUACCAGAAUUAUUUCCUUACAGAUCUGCUCCUGUGUGUUGUUAGGGUGUCUUCCAACAGCACGACAGAGGAACGCAAUGACUCUCACAUCUGUUGGGCCGUUAUUGUUCCGUGUGUGUGGGUGACAGUGGCGCUUGAUGAUGCACGGCAGUGACGCAUAAUGGCCUGGUGACGGGAGUGGGCUGGCUUCUUCCCCCUGUCACUGGGAGUCUUUGCAACUGUGACUCUGCUGGGUGAGGAGAAGAAAAAGAAAUGUGGAUUAUAUUUGGCAGAGCAGUGCUAUAAUCAACCUUAAGUGCAAGCAGAA
Molecule: long non-coding RNA, 1504 nt
Filed under: Parus major (Great Tit)
Lineage: Eukaryota; Metazoa; Chordata; Aves; Passeriformes; Paridae
Description: lncRNA (ENSPMJG00000005224.1)
Source: RNAcentral